CUUAUGGGUGGCGAGUGGCGGACGGGUGAGGAAUACAUCGGAAUCUACUUUUUCGUGGGGGAUAACGUAGGGAAACUUACGCUAAUACCGCAUACGACCUACGGGUGAAAGCAGGGGACCUUCGGACCUUGCGCGAUUGAAUGAGCCGAUGUCGGAUUAGCUAGUUGGCGGGGUAAAGGCCCACCAAGGCGACGAUCCGUAGCUGGUCUGAGAGGAUGAUCAGCCACACUGGAACUGAGACACGGUCCAGACUCCUACGGGAGGCAGCAGUGGGGAAUAUUGGACAAUGGGCGCAAGCCUGAUCCAGCCAUACCGCGUGGGUGAAGAAGGCCUUCGGGUUGUAAAGCCCUUUUGUUGGGAAAGAAAUCCAGCCGGUUAAUACCUGGUUGGGAUGACGGUACCCAAAGAAUAAGCACCGGCUAACUUCGUGCCAGCAGCCGCGGUAAUACGAAGGGUGCAAGCGUUACUCGGAAUUACUGGGCGUAAAGCGUGCGUAGGUGGUUGUUUAAGUCUGUUGUGAAAGCCCUGGGCUCAACCUGGGAACUGCAGUGGAAACUGGACAACUAGAGUGUGGUAGAGGGUAGCGGAAUUCCCGGUGUAGCAGUGAAAUGCGUAGAGAUCGG
This 623-nucleotide ribosomal RNA is filed under the name Stenotrophomonas maltophilia. Its description in RNAcentral is "bacterial SSU rRNA". It matches the Rfam family "Bacterial small subunit ribosomal RNA", at positions 78 to 700 of the family's 1533-position model. Lineage: Bacteria; Pseudomonadati; Pseudomonadota; Gammaproteobacteria; Lysobacterales; Lysobacteraceae. The record is from RNAcentral.